Molecule: long non-coding RNA, 259 nt
Organism: Penaeus indicus
Lineage: Eukaryota; Metazoa; Arthropoda; Malacostraca; Decapoda; Penaeidae
Exons: 3
Source: RefSeq, a predicted model, not a curated record
UCCAACCUGCCCUGCACAUCUCUCUCUCUGUACCCCUAACAACGAAAUGCAAACUUGUGUUUGUGAAGAUGGAAUGAUGCAGUGUCCUGACAAGGUUUGCGUUCCUUUCGACAAAGUGUGUGAUGGCAUCUCACACUGUCUUGACGGUUCUGAUGAAGUGAACUGCACAUGCAUUGAGCGGCUGCGACGUGGUGACAGAAGGAAAGUGUGUGAUGGAAUUAUAGACUGCAAUGACCAGGAAGAUGAGAAAUACUGUGGC